Molecule: transfer RNA, 90 nt
Filed under: Gloeochaete wittrockiana
Lineage: Eukaryota; Glaucocystophyceae; Gloeochaetales; Gloeochaetaceae
Description: tRNA-Ser
Rfam family: tRNA
About the family: Transfer RNA (tRNA) molecules are approximately 80 nucleotides in length. Their secondary structure includes four short double-helical elements and three loops (D, anti-codon, and T loops).
Source: RNAcentral
GGAGAGGUGGCUGAGCGGUCGAAAGCGGCAGAUUGCUAAUCUGUUAUAUGGCUUUUUUCAUAUCGAGGGUUCGAAUCCCUCCUUCUCCGA